CUGGUAGUGGGGGAUAACGUCCGGAAACGGACGCUAAUACCGCAUACGUCCUACGGGAGAAAGCAGGGGACCUUCGGGCCUUGCGCUAUCAGAUGAGCCUAGGUCGGAUUAGCUAGUUGGUGGGGUAAUGGCUCACCAAGGCGACGAUCCGUAACUGGUCUGAGAGGAUGAUCAGUCACACUGGAACUGAGACACGGUCCAGACUCCUACGGGAGGCAGCAGUGGGGAAUAUUGGACAAUGGGCGAAAGCCUGAUCCAGCCAUGCCGCGUGUGUGAAGAAGGUCUUCGGAUUGUAAAGCACUUUAAGUUGGGAGGAAGGGCAGUAAAUUAAUACUUUGCUGUUUUGACGUUACCGACAGAAUAAGCACCGGCUAACUCUGUGCCAGCAGCCGCGGUAAUACAGAGGGUGCAAGCGUUAAUCGGAAUUACUGGGCGUAAAGCGCGCGUAGUGGUUC
RNAcentral lists this ribosomal RNA (455 nucleotides) under uncultured bacterium. Its description in RNAcentral is "bacterial SSU rRNA". It matches the Rfam family "Bacterial small subunit ribosomal RNA", at positions 130 to 580 of the family's 1533-position model. The record is from RNAcentral.